This 645-nucleotide unclassified non-coding RNA is filed under the name Hevea brasiliensis (rubber tree). Lineage: Eukaryota; Viridiplantae; Streptophyta; Magnoliopsida; Malpighiales; Euphorbiaceae. The record is from RNAcentral.
CGCAUGGCACUUGAGAGGGCUGCCAAGGAUGCUAUACCAUAGUCUUGCUUUUUGAUUUCUUUACUAAUAAAAUGACUCAAACUUGGAACUUUGUUCUCAACAUAGUCCCCAAGGAUUAAAUGCUCAACAUCACCCCCAAAUAACUUCUCCACUGAUUUAACAAGAACUUGACUAACUCGAUUAUUCGGAAUGCUUGAAAGCUGAAAACAGUCUUCUGCAAUAAAUAUCUGCCUUGGUCUAACCAGAUCCACAUCAGGCAAUUGAAGUAGAAUGCGACCAACUCGAUUCAAAAUCACUGGAUCCCUAGCAAACCAUCCCACAGUAUCAAAACUCUGUGCCAUGGGAAUAACUCCAGCAGUAGAAACAGCAUCAUGUGAAGGUCGAAACCCCAAAAUGCUGCAAUAUGAUGCUGGAACUCUUACACUUCCUCCAGUGUCAGUUCCUAAGGAGAAGUCUACAAGCUUUGCACCUACUGCAACAGCAGACCCACUGGAAGAUCCUCCAGGUACACGAUCUGGAGCACAAGGAUUUGUAGGUGUGCCAUAAUGUUUAUUAUCCCCAUCUAGACUAUAUGCCAUUUCAUCCAUGACAGUUUUACCAACACAUGUGGCUCCUCCUCUCAAGAUAGCCAAAACAGCCGGAGCA